UGAGGAAUAUUGGUCAAUGGGCGGGAGCCUGAACCAGCCAAGUCGCGUGAGGAAGAAGGUGCUGAGCAUUGUAAACCUCUUUUGCCGGGGAACAAACGCCGUCACGAGCUGGCGGUUUGAGUGUACCCGGAGAAAAAGCAUCGGCUAACUCCGUGCC
Molecule: ribosomal RNA, 157 nt
Filed under: uncultured bacterium
Lineage: Bacteria
Description: partial 16S ribosomal RNA
Rfam family: Bacterial small subunit ribosomal RNA
Source: RNAcentral